ACGAUGGAUACUAGGUGUGGGGGGUCUGACCCCCUCCGUGCCGCAGUUAACACAAUAAGUAUCCCACCUGGGGAGUACGAUCGCAAGGUUGAAACUCAAAGGAAUUGACGGGGGCCCGCACAAGCGGUGGAGUAUGUGGUUUAAUUUGAAGCAACGCGAAGAACCUUACCAGGGCUUGACAUCCUACUAACGAAGCAGAGAUGCAUUAGGUGCCCUUCGGGGAAAGUAGAGACAGGUGGUGCAUGGUUGUCGUCAGCUCGUGUCGUGAGAUGUCGGGUUAAGUCCCGCAACGAGCGCAACCCUUAUUGUUAGUUGCUACGCAAGAGCACUCCAGCGAGACUGCCGUUGACAAAACGGAGGAAGGCGGGGAGGACGUCAAAUCAUCAUGCCCCUUAUGUCCUGGGCUACACACGUACUACAAUGGUGGUAAACAGAGGGAAGCAAGACCGCGAGGUGGAGCAAAUCCCUAAAAGCCAUUCCAGUUCGGAUUGCAGGCUGAAACCCGCCUGUAUGAAGUUGGAAUCGCUAGUAAUCGCGGAUCAGCAUGCCGCGGUGAAUACGUUCCCGGGCCUUGCACA
This 578-nucleotide ribosomal RNA is filed under the name uncultured bacterium. RNAcentral describes it as "bacterial SSU rRNA". It matches the Rfam family "Bacterial small subunit ribosomal RNA", at positions 806 to 1387 of the family's 1533-position model. The record is from RNAcentral.